This 460-nucleotide ribosomal RNA is filed under the name uncultured bacterium. Its description in RNAcentral is "partial 16S ribosomal RNA". It matches the Rfam family "Bacterial small subunit ribosomal RNA", at positions 338 to 795 of the family's 1533-position model. The record is from RNAcentral.
CCUACGGGUGGCAGCAGUGAGGAAUAUUGGUCAAUGGACGAGAGUCUGAACCAGCCAAGUAGCGUGAAGGAUGACUGCCCUAUGGGUUGUAAACUUCUUUUAUAUGGGAAUAAAAUGUUCCACGUGUGGGAUUUUGUAUGUACCAUAUGAAUAAGGAUCGGCUAACUCCGUGCCAGCAGCCGCGGUAAUACGGAGGAUCCGAGCGUUAUCCGGAUUUAUUGGGUUUAAAGGGAGCGUAGGUGGAUUGUUAAGUCAGUUGUGAAAGUUUGCGGCUCAACCGUAAAAUUGCAGUUGAAACUGGCAGACUUGAGUUGGCGAGAAGUACGCGGAAUGCGCGGUGUAGCGGUGAAAUGCAUAGAUAUCGCGCAGAACUCCGAUUGCGAAGGCAGCGUACCGGCGCCAGACUGACGCUGAGGCACGAAAGCGUGGGGAUCGAACAGGAUUAGAUACCCGUGUAGUC